AAGUCGUAACAAGGUUUCCGUAGGUGAACCUGCGGAAGGAUCAUUAUUGAAAUAAACCUGAUAGGUUGUUGCUGGUUCUUUAAUGAACAUGUGCACGCCUGUCAUCUUUAUAUCUCCACCUGUGCACCUUUUGUAGACCUGGACAAGUUUCUUAAUGCUAGCAUUAAGGUCUUGGGAUUGACUUUUGUCUCUCCUUAUAUUUCCGGGUCUAUGUUUAUUCAUAUACCCUAAUGUAUGUUAUAGAAUGUAUCAAAUGGGCCUUUGUGCCUAUAACACUAUACAA
Molecule: unclassified non-coding RNA, 283 nt
Filed under: plant metagenome
Description: partial contains small subunit ribosomal RNA and internal transcribed spacer 1
Rfam family: Eukaryotic small subunit ribosomal RNA (bases 1-46)
Source: RNAcentral